RNAcentral lists this ribosomal RNA (492 nucleotides) under uncultured bacterium. RNAcentral's name for it is "partial 16S ribosomal RNA". It matches the Rfam family "Bacterial small subunit ribosomal RNA", at positions 29 to 507 of the family's 1533-position model. The record is from RNAcentral.
AGUGAACGCUGGCGGUAGGCCUAACACAUGCAAGUCGAACGGCAGCACAGUAAGAGCUUGCUCUUACGGGUGGCGAGUGGCGGACGGGUGAGGAAUACAUCGGAAUCUACUUUUUCGUGGGGGAUAACGUAGGGAAACUUACGCUAAUACUGCAUACGACCUACGGGUGAAAGCAGGGGAUCUUCGGACCUUGCGCGAUUGAAUGAGCCGAUGUCGGAUUAGCUAGUUGGCGGGGUAAAGGCCCACCAAGGCGACGAUCCGUAGCUGGUCUGAGAGGAUGAUCAGCCACACUGGAACUGAGACACGGUCCAAACUCCUACGGGAGGCAGCAGUGGGGAAUAUUGGACAAUGGGCGCAAGCCUGAUCCAGCCAUACCGCGUGGGUGAAGAAGGCCUUCGGGUUGUAAAGCCCUUUUGUUGGGAAAGAAAAGCAGCAGGUUAAUACCCCGCUGUUCUGACGUUACCCAAAGAAUAAGCACCGGCUAACUUCGUG